ACAGCCCGGAUGCUGGCAGAGCAGAACU
RNAcentral lists this non-coding RNA (28 nucleotides) under Cricetulus griseus (Chinese hamster). The record is from RNAcentral. Lineage: Eukaryota; Metazoa; Chordata; Mammalia; Rodentia; Cricetidae.